GAAAUGCGAUAAGUAAUGUGAAUUGCAGAAUUCAGUGAAUCAUCGAAUCUUUGAACGCACAUUGCGCCCGCCAGCACUCUGGCGGGCAUGCCUGUUCGAGCGUCAUUUCAACCCUCAGAACCCCUUGCGGGAUCUGGCGUUGGGGAUUGGCAUCCAGCCAGCCCCGAAAUCUAGUGGCGGUCCCUCCGCGACCUCCCCUGUGCAGUAGCGAUACCUCGCAGCGGGACAGCGGUCUGACCACGCCGUAAAACCCCCAACUUCCCAAGGUUGACCUCGAAUCAGGUAGGAAUACCCGCUGAACUUAAGC
This 307-nucleotide unclassified non-coding RNA is filed under the name plant metagenome. RNAcentral describes it as "partial contains 5.8S ribosomal RNA, internal transcribed spacer 2, and large subunit ribosomal RNA". The stretch from base 1 to 105 matches the Rfam family "5.8S ribosomal RNA", at positions 50 to 154 of the family's 154-position model. The record is from RNAcentral.